AUUGUUAGAAUUGUGUGACCCAAAUUCUAAGAGAUUGCUUGCAAGUCAAGUUAAACAAAAAUAUAUUUUCUUUCUAGAAGAUUUAGUAUUUAUUAGUAUAAUAUAUUUAGCAUUUAUUAGUAUAGUUUAUUUGACUUGCUAAUUUAGCCUAUAAAUAGACUCCUUUACAAUCUUAGAAUUAGAGAGACACCCAUUAGAUUAGAACUCAUAACACAUUCAGAGAAUUUUGUGUUUACGUUUGAGGGUUCUUUGUUUUUCGAGUUUUCGGGGUUUAGUUUUUAUCUCCAUCUUUUGUACUCUUCAUUCUUUUGCCAUUAUAGUAAAAUUAUCUUUGCCCGUAGUUUUUUAUCCUCUUUUGAGGGGUUUUUCCACGUUAAAUUUGUGUGUUCAUCUUCUCAAUUUCUUUUACUAUUUUUACUUGUUCGUUGCUUAAUCGGGACGAUCCUAACACCGACCAAUAUAGAUGUAUUGAAGCAUACUCAAAUUCCCAAUUUCUAUUGGUAGGCUCCCCUCCAUUUGGUUAUACGCUAAAGAUAACAUUUGUAACUCUUUGCACUUGAAUAGACUGGCAGGAAUUCUACCAGAAAGCAGGUUACGACUCCAGUACAAUCCUUUCAAAUUUGGAAGAUGAUCAAACAUAUCUUUUGGGAUAUGACCAGUGAGAUUAUUGGAGGAGAAAUGGAUGACUUCUAGCAAAAGUAAAUCACGUGGAACAAAGGGUAUGGAACCAGAAAGCAUAUUGUAGCUUAGAUAUAUUUCUUGCAACGAAGAGAUAUUGAAGAUGGUGGAGGGAAUUGAACCUGAAAUCUGGUUUCCAGACAAAUACAAGACCUCUAGCUUUGACAAAUAGGCUAAAGAGAAUGGAAUAACACCUUUGAAGUUGUUUUGGUCCAAAAACAACCUUCGAAGUUCAGUUAAUGAUCCCAACCAUGAUGGGAUUUCUCCAUUGAAGGAGUUGUUACCAAAGCUUAAAUAUUUCAGCCGUCGCAAAUUGGAUAACUGGACAGGUAAUCCGCCAUAGAAACUAUUGUUUGUGACAUGAAGAAGAGAAAGGAAUGAUAAAUUUCCCAAGUGAGGUGGAAGGGUGCCUACGAGUCCCAACCUAGUAAGGUUUAGAGCUGUGACUCUACGGUGCUUGGAUCUACAACUUACACCAAACCAAUUGCAAAUAGGGGCAGAGGCUGACCAGUUAGUCGUCAAGACAUUUUCAGGAUCCUGAAUAACAUGAUCUUUUAGUGCUAGAAGAGCUGACUGAUCUCUAAGUAUGGUUGUUAAUUUCAUAGAGAAAGUAGGCAUAGAGAAAUGGAAGAUGAUAAGAAGAGCUAAGUUGAGGAAAGUAUUCCCCAUUUGAAUUUGGGUGUUUAUGAAGCUACCAACAAAGGCAGAACGGAGAUUGCUAGACAGAUAAUUGAAUGAUCACUAACCGUAUGACCACACAACUUUUACAUAAUACGUGUAUGUAUAUAUAAAGGGAGUUUAUGUUGUAAUUUCUUCAUGCAAGAUUGCAAAUUAAUAUGAUUUACUUAGAAAUUACGGAAUUUAUUAUAAGACGUGAUAAUAUAAUUAUGUAAUUAUUGCUUAAAAUUUUUCUUUCUAAAUUUCAUAUUUCUUAAGAAAUUACAGUAAUAAAUUUUACAUAGAAAUAACAUUAACAUUAUUGUCAGUACAGGAGAAUGUGAAUUUGAAUGCAUUGAAACACAUUUAUCUUCUUAUAUAAGUAUUAGCAAAAAAAAUUAUGUAUAGUUCUAGACAUGUUAUAAAAAGAAUUUGAUAUAACAAGAUUUAGAAAAUAAUUUGCAUUAUUUAUUUUAGGAAAUUAUUGAAUAAAGAGAUCAAGAAUUUUCAAUUUAAAAAAUUUUAAAUUUAAAUCAUAACAGGAGAAGGAGUUUAGUUACUUUACAAUUAUCCAAGAUGGAUUAAAUUUGGUUUUAUAUCUAAGAUAUCAAAACCGUAAUUAGGUUAUGAUAAGCAUUAAACUAAAUUAUUGGAAUAAAAAUAUAGGUGAAAUUAUUAAUAAAAGCCGUUUUUUUUCAAAAUUUACUGAAAUGGGCUGAUUUUUUUAUUAUUUACCGGAAUGGUCUAUUUUCCGGGAAAUCGCAUCCACGUCAGAGCGAUGUCAGGGUACGUGUCAGGACAUUGCGUCCACGUCAGCGCGACCUGCUUACGUGGAAGGAAAUCGUGUCCUUGAGGGAGCGAUUUCCUUCCACGUCAGCAGGUCACGCUAACGUGGACGCGAUGUCGGCCGCGUGUGAACAGUACCCCAACGGUCAAAAAUUUGACCGUUGCCCCCCCAACGGUAAAAAAAAAACUAUAAAUACCCCCACCCCUUUUUUUUUUCACAAACAAAUCCUAUCUUCGAUUUCCUUCCAAAAUUCUCUCAAACCCAUAUUUAAUUUCAAUUUCCUCUCAAUUUCCUUCCAAAAUUCUCUCAAAUCCAUAUUUAAUUUCAAUUACCCCUCAAUUUUAUUUUUUAAAAUAAUUUUUAUAUUUUUAUAUUUUUUAAAAUAAUUUUUAUAUUUUUAUAUUUUUUAAAAAUAAUUUUAAAUUUUUUAUAUUUUCAUCAAUGGCCGGAUCAUUGAUUCGUCUUGAUAGGAUUCACAUAUCGGUGGAGCAAAUGAAAAUGGUAAGCAUUAAAUUUAAUUUUUAAAUAUUAUUUAAGAUUUUUUUAUUUAUGUAUUUUUAGAUAAUUAUUAAUUUAUUAUUUGUUAUAAAAGUCUGCAGAUCAGAUAUUGGAAUGCAAUAUCCGGAAUAUGCAUGCUCCUCCAUCACCGUUAGUAGAGAACUACUUGUGGGAAGCGGGUUUUUGGCACGUGGCGACGGUAGUCCGGGGAUGCAAGUUGGACCCGAAACUGAUUAGUGCGUUGAUCGAGAGGUGGAGACCCGAGACGCACACAUUCCAUCUUCCAUGUGGAGAGUGCACUAUCACUCUAGAAGAUGUCAGUCUGCAGUUGGGAUUGCCGGUGGACGGGCACCCAGUCACUGGGUCUGCCCAAUCUAGUAAUUGGGAGGCAGUGUGCUACGAGCUUUUGGGCGCUAUUCCGGAUAAAAUGGAUGGAGGUAAGGUCGAGAUGGGCUGGUUACGUGCCACCUUCCCCGAUCCGAAUGCAAAUUCAACUGAAAUUGAAAGAAUCUGAUAUGCUCGAUCAUACAUUUUUCAAAUAAUUGGAGGUUAUCUGAUGCCCGACACAUCACAGAGCCGUGUACAUCUAAGGUGGCUGCUAAAACUCGUUGAUUUUAGAGGAGCUGGUGAAUUUAGUUGGGGGUCUGCCGUCUUGACAACAUUAUAUCGGGAGAUGUGCGAUGUGACGCGACCGAGGAGAGAAAACAUCGGAGGUUGCCUGUCACUACUGCAAUCAUGGGCACGGUUUCGCUUUCCAUUUCUACAUCCUCGAGUGAACCACCCAUAUACAUUCCCACUCGUAACGAGGUAAAUUUUAUAUUACAUUUUGGAAUUAUUAUGUAGAUUUUGUAAGAAUAAAACUAUGCUAAAUAUUUAUUUAAUUAGGUGGAACCAUCAGGCAAGUUAUCGAGGAUUACCGUCUGAACUUGAAGAUAUACGGCUUCUAUUGGAGCAACGGUCGGAAGCAGAAGUAAGUAUUAUUGCAAAUAGAUAUUUCUAUACAUUCGCUAGUCGAUUGAUAUUUAGUAUUUAGUAUUUAGUAUUAUGUAUAUAACUAAUAUUUCUAUCAUGUUCAUAUAGUUUCAAUGGACACCAUACGAGGAUCCGGCAAUUCGAGUAGUAAUCUAGGAAGAGUUUUUACAAAAUCUGAACGCUUGGCACGCGAAAGUGGUGUUGAUCAACUAUGCAACCGUGGAGCCCCACCAGACAGACAGAGUGCUACGACAGUUUGGAUGUAGACAACCGAUUCCUGCGGACCUUGAGGUGUUUGACGAUCACCACAAAAUCGACCUUCGGCUAUUAGGUAUGGAUUGGCCUAGAUACUGGUCCGAGUACACACAAAUGUGGGAAAAUCGGCUUGAAUAUCUACCUACUCGGGAAGAAAUCAUCGUUCCGGAGUUAGCGUGCGUUCCAGAAUACAUGCCAUAGUUUAGGAUCCAUGGCAAGCCGUAUUUACUUAAGCCAGAGGAUAGGCAGCGGCAAAUACGUGUCGGCAGGGAAAGGCGCGGGCCUCUAAAUCCAAGACAAGAAUACUACGAAGGCAGCCCCUCAACGAGGCCCAGACAGUCACCGGCUCAUCAUCAGCAGCCAUGCAAUCACCGUCCCUAAUGAGAGCACCGACGCAGUCACCUGGCGCAGCAAUUCAACAGAUGAUACCCACGCAACCGCCUUUCCCUAUGAUGCCAGGUGUGUUUCCUAGCCCUUAUAUGUACCCUAACCCUUACAUGUAUCCUUUUCCGAAUCCUAUGGCAGGUUGGAGCCAAAUGCCCGGUUCAGCUCCAUUUCCUGUUAUGCCGAGCGGACCGUCGAUAUCUAGGCCAGCGGCGCAGGAGGGAUCGCAAGGGGGGCCGUCGGGGAGCUCUCCUUUUUACCAAUCGCCACCAACGUAUGGCUUUCAAACACCGUUGUCGUUCAUGAUGCAAACACCUCCACAUACACUAUUCUUUGAAGGUGGAUCAUCGUCCCAAGUCCGACAACCAGAUGCCGAACCGGAAGAACCACAAUCACCACCGAAGGAAGAACAACCGCCGCCGGAAGCUAGAGGAAGGAGGAAUCUAGCGCGUAACCGUCGACGGCCGCCAUGUGCAACUGAAUCCCUCGGGCAUAGACAUUGAUUGCCGUAUUUAAAUUUAUUAUUUGAUGUAAUAAAAUAGAAGUUUAUUUGAUGUAAUACGUAUAGAAAUUUUUUCGAGUUAUUUUGAUAUUAUUUGAUGUAAUAAAAUAGAAGUUUAUUUGAUAUAAUAGGCAUAGAAAUUUUUUCGAGUUAUUUUGAUAUUAUUUGAUAUAAUAAAAUAGAAGUUCUAUUUGAUGUAAUAAAAACCAUAAUUUAAUUAAAAACCCUAACCAUAACCUAACUUAAUUAAAAACCCUAACCCUAACCUAAUUUAAUUAAAACCCUAACCCUAACCUAACUUAAUUAAAAACCCUAACCCUAACCAAACUUAAUUAAAAACCCUAACCCUAACCUAACUUAAUUAAAAACCCUAGCCCUAACCUAAUUUUACAUAAUUUGAUAAUUUUACUAACCAUUAACACAAUUUUUGGACUUAAUAAUUUUACAUAAUUUGAUAAUUUUACUAACCAUUAACAAAAAUUUUUUUGGCUUAAUAAUUUUACAUAAAUUUACAUAAUGUUAGAUUUGGUAAAAUAUUUUGACUGGUACUAACAAUUAAGAAAUUAAAAUAAUUUGAUAAUUUUACUAACAAUUAAUACAAUUAUCAAUUAAUAAUUGAAUAAAAUAUAUUUUUUUCUAAAAUUACAUUCAACUAUUGCGAUUAGGGCAUGAUCGACUUGUAUGGCCUGGGUUCCUACACCAUCCGCACAACUUCUGUUGACUGGUUGUUUCUCGGAUAUCCAUAUUGUUCCGUAUUCUAGUGGAGCACGGUCGACCCUUUAGUUUGCGACGCAAUUCUCUAUCCGGUAACAGCUUAAAAAGAGCAAGAGAUACGGGCGGCCACUUACGUUCAUCUGGGACCGGUGGGAAAACGUGUCUCCAUACGUUGUACAUGUUUUCUAAUUUGUACACUUCGUCCACAUAACUCAUCGAAUCCAGACGGAGUUUCUGACAAGCUGCAAUAACAUGAGCGCAUGGAUAGCGAAGUACAUCAAACUUCCCACUGUCACAAGUCCUGUUUUGCAAGUGUACACGAUAUUGUCCGCCAACAACACCUUGGUGCGGUCUGUCAAACUCUGUCACACGAAACCAUAAAUUGUCUCGAUCGUGACACACUGUGUGCAUGAUGUUUGCCCUCGCCUUCGCCUUGUUAAUUUCUUGAACUACCUUACUGCACCAUACAUGGCCACCCUGCAUCUGGCCUGCAUAAGUUGCUGCUCGCUUUGGAAAUAGCGCCGCCAAACGGAAAUAUGUCUCUUGCACAACCGAUGUUAUCGGUAGAUGGCACGUUCCUUUAAUAACAGAAUUUAUGCAUUCUGCCAGGUUUGAUGUCAUAUGGCCAUAUCUCAGGCCUCCGUCGUAUGCUUGUACCCACUGUUCGAAACGUAUGUUACAAAGGUAGUCUGCCCCUUCUCCGUUUUGGGAUCGUAAAAUUACCAACAUCUCGUGAAAACGAUCUUUAUUUAUUUCAUACCCCGCCAAUAUAAGAUUAUAGCGAAUAUUUUAUACCACUUCUACCAAUAAAACUAAUUCAAAUUGACAAACGAAAUAAUAUAGUUAUAGACUAAAUACCCAUAUUGGUCACUUGUCGUCGUUCGCUCUUAGAUGGAUAUUGCUUGUAGUAGUUCGAAGCAGCGUAUCUUAGGCAAUAUCUAUGGUGUGUGCGCUGCCACAAGCUUCCCUGUCGAUCAAAUGUAGCAGUAUACCGGCGCCCCGAUCUGAAAUAACAUAGAUAUCAGGUUGGGGGCACACAUGCCUCCUUAACCUAGAGAGAAAGAAAUCCCAGUCAUCAGACGACUCCCCCGGUGUUAUUGCAAAUGCAAUUGGAAGAAUUUUCCCACCGCCGUCCUGUGCCACUGCAACCAAUAGCCGAUGAGUAUACCUACCGAACAUGAAGGUACCGUCAAUUUGUACCAAUGGCUUGCAGUAUGGAAAUGCGUCUCGGCAUUGCUUAAAGGUCCAAAAUAGGCGUUUGAACACUUGACAUCCACGUAGCAAUCGGCCGUUGUAGUACGCAUGUUUCGUUUCAAGGUCUGUGAUGGCACCUAGGACGUAUCUCUCUAGCACCUGACACCACUGUCAUAUUUCAUUAUAUGAGGCGUCCCACCCACUAUGCAUCUUCUCCAACGCCUUUUGCUUAGCUAUCCAAGCCUUGCGGUAAGAGGGCGUGUACCCCAUUUGGCUACGAAUAUUGGCAACUAUCACCAGCACUGAAGUCCUAGGAUCUGCUUUUAUCAUGGGCAGUAUCAAGCUAUCUAACAUAGCUGAAUCCAUUUUGGGAUGAUCUUGUGAAACACCUACAGAGGGAGUACAUUAAAUAAUGCAACAUUGCAAAAUAAAAUAAUUAUUUAGAUACAUUAAAUCAUGUACCUGCAGCACAUGUAUGUGGACCUUUGUACUUUUUAAUCUCCCACAACCUUGUCCUUUUCCUUAACGAGACGACGAUUUUCCAUGAACAUGUGCCGUCUUGCACCGCACACUUCGCCUCAAACUUAUCAGAUUUUAAUUUAACGACGUGGUCAUUAACGCCGUUUUUGAUGCUAUGCUGUUUCAAAGCACCAAUAAAACUAUCCUUGUUGGUAAACUGAUUACCAACUUCAAGUUCACCGAAAUUUACCCCCGAACUUGUACGAUCGCACAACCGGUGUGGUAGAUCUGGAAACUCUAACGCAUCAUCUGCUGACAGAUCGACAUUAUGCAUGUGGGCUGGAGGUGAGUAUGCUCUGAAUCGUGAAUUUUCUUCAUCAUCUGAACUCCUUUCAGCAUCUUCACCUUCUGUUGGAAUAGGCUCCGGUUCAGAAAAUAAUCUCACUUCUGCACCAUCCUGCCCGGGCUCUCGAGGUGGAUCCACAUCGGAGUCAUCUUCUAACCCACAAUCAUCUGCAGCGUACGACGUCCCUUCACCGGUUGACGUCGUAGGUAGUACGUCAUCCCUUCUUCUGGGCAUUUGAUAACGUUUCCAAUUAGAUGUAGAUUGCCAUCCACUAGAACUUGAUGUAGUUCCCCAGUACGUAUUUCCAGCAUCAAACGUCGAGCCACCGACAUAUAUGUCCCAUCCACCGACAGAGUGUCUUGCGGGGGAUGCAUUCGACAGCGCUACCGAACAUGGGCUGUUCUAUAUUUUGUAACCCGCUAACCGAGUGUCGGCCAGGGGUCGUGUAUACAUCUCAAACACCAGACGGAAGUACAUCAGUUGGCAACGUAAAUUGUACAUAUAACUCAAUAUAAGUUGCUCCACUAGCAAGAUGAGUCUCCACCAUUGCCUCAAAGCUACGAGCACAUUUUCUGUCGAACGAGUCAUAUGUCACCGGAUCAACACAAGAACAAAAUCGAUACGUGAUUGACAAAACUUUCAUUGGCAUCGUUCCGAAGAUUUUACGCCUAAUUCUUUUACGAAGUUCUGUCAAAUCUAUGUUCUGGUUAAAUGACAGUCACACCGUAUUCUCCGACUAAAGAACAACACCAUUCUCGGUGUGGCAAACCUCACCAUCGUAGUAAAUAACAGCACUAAUACAUUCACUCAUUUUGAAACUCUAACUUUCUUAGCCUCUCUAAAUUGUUUCUGCUAUGACUUAUGCAUUCUAAGAACAUUUUCUGCCUAAUUUAUAGCCUCAGCUCAAACUUGCUACUGCAGCAAAAUCGCGUCCACGAGGGCGUGAUUUCACAAUUUCUUCUCAAAUAGCAUCCUGGUACAAGCGAUUUUAUACUAUUUGCUCAGAAACGUCAAAAAAAAUUAUUUCUUACAUGACCUACUGUAGCAAAAUCGCGUCCACGAGGGCGCGAUUUCACAAUUUCUUCUCAAAUAGCAUCAUGGUACUAGCGAUUUUAUACUAUUUGCUCAGAAACGUAAAAAAAAUUAUUUCUUACAUGACCUACUGUAGCAAAAUCGCGUCCACGAGGGCGCGAUUUCACAAUUUCUUCUCAAAUAGCAUCCUGGUAGAAGCGAUUUUAUACUAUUUGACCAGAAACGUCAACUUAAAAUAAUUUAUUCCGGGACCUAAAAAUCCUAAAAAGCCUGAACCCUAAACCCUAAAAGCCAAAAAAACCAAACGUGAAAAAAAAGUCAAAAUCACGUCCCCCGGAAUGUGCUACGUGGCAGGACAUCGCGUCCACUUCAGCGCGACCUACUGACGUGGAAGGAAAUCACUCCCUCAAGGACGCGAUUUCCUUCCAUGUCAGCAGGUCACGCUGACGUGGACGCGAUGUCCUGACACGUACCCUGACAUCGCUCUGACGUGGACGCGAUUUCCCGAAAAAUGGACCAUUCCGGUAAAUAAUAAAAAAAUCGGUCUAUUUCGGUAAAUUUUGAAAAAAAAACGGCUUUUUUUGGUAAAUUACCCAAAAAUAUAAGCAAUUUUACAAUAUUCGUGGUGGGAACAUAUCCCAUCACCAACUUUUCAUAACUUCUUUUUCCCAUUUUAUAAAAUGUCUAUAGAUUAAGUACUGGCUCUUCAAUUUUCUAAGUAUUCAUUGUCUUACCCCUUUCUUGGGUUUGGUUUGGGAAGGUUGCUUGACUUCGUUGUGCAAUUUAAAGUCUUUCCAAUUUGUCGUUUUAGAAGUGAUCGGAAAAUUUGCACUUCUUCAUGUACUAGAAGAAAAGUGAUUGGGUUCAAAGAAUAAAAACAGGGAUAGAUUAUUUACAUAGUUUAGUUUUUCUAUUCCUACAGAGCCUACGUUAUGAGGAAUAGUUUAGUUUAUGUUGUAGUUUCUUCCUGCAAGAUUACAAAUUUUUUUAAUGUGAUUUACGUAGAAACUACGAAAUUUAUUAUAGGAUGUGAUAAUAUAAUUCUAUAAUUAUUGCUUAAAUUUUUUCUUUCUAAAUUUCAUAUUUCUUAAGAAAUUACAGUAAUAAAUUUUACAUAGAAAUAAUAUGUAGUAUUGAAAUUAAAUUGCAGUUGUACAAAGGUUACAACUUUUUUAUUAAAUUAUUAAAAUUAUUAGAGAACAUGAUAAAAUUAAAUGAGAACCUUUUUAUCAAAGUGACAAGUGAGCAGUCGCUUUGAAGAAUAUAAAUAACCCUUCCGCUUGCUUAAUUUGUGUUUCUAUUGACUAAAAAAAUUUUGAACAAAAAGGAUAUUGACUAAAAAUUAAAAUAACCAUGAAAUCUUUUACAACAUUCAACGAGGUUGAAAGAUUUUAUUUUUAAUUUUUUUUAAAUAAUAACUUAUUUGGCUUCUAAUUUUAUAAAAAAAUUAUUUUUUAUUCCUUAAAACUUAUAUUAUUUAUCAACAUUGGCUUACUCCUUCGUUGGGUUUGGUUUGGGACGGCUGCUUGACUUCGUUGUGCAAUCUAAAGUCUUUCCACUUUGUCGUUUUAAAAGUCUGCAUAUCGGAGAAUAUCACAAUUGAGAAAGAAUUAUAUAUUGCUGUGAAACUGAACGUAGUUGCUAAUAUAUACGUUAAGUGAUUAAAAACUUGGCACCUCUUCAAGUGCGGGAAGAAGUGAUUGCGAAGUUGACACUUUUUCUAAGUUAUUAAAAAAAAUAAAUAGGAGACACAUAUUGUUUACUUAGUUUGGUUUCUUACGUUUGCGGAUCUUAGUUUAGUGAAAAAUAUCUACUAUCUCCAACAUUUAUAAUGAGUGAUCUUAAAUCUAUCACAACUCACUACAAUUUCCUCACUUUUGUACUUUUGAAAAUCGGUACUUUCAUCACUAAAUUCACUCCUGUGAACUUAAUUUAUAAAAUCACAACACACAAGUUUUACAAUCAAAUGCACUCUUACAAACAAUAUUCUUCGCUUAAACAGACCAAGUUCUCUCAAUUCUCUAUACAAUCACCUAUACAAGUCUCUCAAUUAUAAAUAGAUUUCGAGAUUUACUAACAUAAUGAAAAUCUAUAUCAAUCUCUAUUAAACAACAACUAAACUAGUUGAAUAAAUUAUAAUAAUAAAUAAGGUAAACAAGGAUUGUUGGCAGCUAAGUCUUCUACGUUCCAAUUCGAUUCAACUUUCUCGAUCCAAGCGAUUAGAUAUACAUGGUCCGAUCCAAUCCGAUCCCUUAAACAUGUUUCCUGAAGUGAUAUGAUCUGUAACACCCCAAACCCAGCCUAACGUUAUAUAUGGUCUAACAUAUAAUAAAAUUUAUUAUUUAUAAAAUAAACUAAAAAUAAAAAGAGAGAAAAGUUUGAAUAUGGUUUAAAUAUUGUUUGUGAGGUUUUUUUAAAAAAUAUUUUAUUUAUAAAAAUAUUAUUUUAAGAAAUAAAUGUUAUGUUAGAAAGAAGAGAAAAUGGGUAUUCAUGUGUAUUUAUAAUUGUGUUAUGUAUUGUUAUAAAAAUUUAUGUGUUUUUAUAAAAAAAAAACUUUUACAUAUUUUGAAUUUUUAAGAAGUAAAACUACAUUGACAAAAUGUAUAAAAUUGAGAGCUAAAUUUGUUGAUUUUUUAGAGUUAAAGCUAAAUUGAUAGAAUCUGUCAACAUUAGAGGGUUAAAUUUGUUAUUAUAUUAAUAAAAAAUGCCACCGUUAAUGAUUUAACAGAGGAACAACAAAAAUAUUAAAAUUUGAUAAUAUUAAUGAAUGAAAUAAAAAUUUUUAAACUUAAAUGACCAAAAUAGAAACACACUAAUAAUUAGAUAAACUAUUUUUUUUACUUUUCCCUAGAUUUAAUAAUGUUACCCGAUUUUCCAUGAUUCCUCCAUUUUCUUACCCCUUUCUUGGGGUUGGGACCCGGCUUCACUUUAUUUGUGCAAUCUAAAGGCCUUUCAACUAUGUCAACAAUUGCUUAUGAACUUAUAAUGCGAAACCUUAAGCAAUUGGACAACGAAGCUAUCACUUUUCUUCUUCAAGGAUAAUUAAGAUGGGUCCGGCAUGGUCACUAAAUUUCCAUCACUUUUUGGCCAUUUUCUUUUCUAUGUUUUGCACAUUUUUAAAUCUCUAUACAUUCAAUAAUGCUCCCCAAUUGAAGGUUCUUCUUUUUCAAACCUCGUCUUUUACUCGACUUUGUUGUGCAAUUUAAAGUCUUUCAGCUUUGUUGUUUGGGUAACUUAUAAAAAUAGUCACUUAAUUUUAGUUAAAUUUAUUUUCUCACUGAAUUAUAAAAAAAUUACAUUUUAGUCACUAACAGUAUCGAGUUAUAACGUUUUGGUCACUCAUCCAUUAACCGCCAUUUUAUCCUUAAGGAAAAGUGCCGUUAACUCAAGGGUUAAUAUUUAAUUUGACCUUUGAACUAUAGUUAAAACAUUCAACUUGGUCAUAAUUUAUUAAAAAAUAUUAAAAAUAAAAAAUUUAAAAAUUUAUUUAUUGUUUGAUACUAUAAAAAAUAUAUAUUUUGAAAUUGUAAUUAUGUAAUGUUUUAAAAAACCAUAGAAUCCUUUAAAUUUAAAUUAUAUUAGAAAUCCUAUCACAGUUGUGCACAUGUGGCAAUCAUGAAUUUAGAACAUAGAUUUGUGUUUAAAAAUGAAAUCCAAUAAAUAAUGAAAUCGUAUAGUUUGAAACUAAUUAAUCAUAAUAACACAUGAAAUAUGUAUGAUAUUAAAGUUAAAAAAUUAGAUUAAAUUGUGAGUAAAACUAAACUUAAACAUAUAAAUACAUUAAAUUAACAAUACUAAACCAACUCAACUAAUAACAUUAUUAAUAUAUACAAUGGAUGAAGUGUGCAUAAUAAAAUUAAAUUGUAUAUGAAAAAAUCAAAAUAAAACUUUGGUUGAGUGGUUAAUUUAGGGUUUUGCUAAUGUGAUUGACGUAGAUAUUAUAAUAUGUAUAUUUUUUAUUUUUUUAAGAAAGUAAAAGAUUAAAGUACCCCCGAAUAAUAUAAUUUAUUUAAUUACAAAAGAACAUUUCCAUAAUUUCUCUAACCGAGUUGAUGCUCGUCUAACUCGUAAUAUCAACUCAAUCAAAGACUUAAAAUAAUGGUAUAGAUAAAAAUGUAGAUUGAGUCAUGGUUAUCUGAACCUAUUGAACUGGCAAUGAUACCAGUCUGGAGAGAGGCAUUAGAUCAGUUCACUCGCAAACCAGUACAGACCAAUAUUAGAACUAGACUAAAAAACUGAUUGAAUCGUUUUUUUAAUAUUUUAAUAAUUUGUAAUCCAACUAUACAAACCAAUAUUUCAACCACCAUUUUAGUUCUAAAAACUUUGCUUAAAGUAUAUUUAAUUUUUAAUUAUUUACUUUAUAAUUCUACACAAAUACAUAAUUACCGCAGCUUCAGAACAGACGAGGACUAAGAAAAAGAAUCAGCUAAUUUUACUGAUUGCAAUUCUAUGAGUAACGCAGCAAACUUAGCUUUCUUUAAUUUCGUCUCACACUAAUAAUUUGUAUCUAUGAUUUAACUUGGACAAGAUCUUUAUCAAGUUGUUUUUUAUGCAAUUGACUAAUAAAAUUCCAUAUUGAGCCAUCGAAUUUACGAGAAAUGGAUACAACAAUGACUUCAAAAUAAAUUGGACUUUUUAUUUUGCAAUUCACUUUUAUAGUUUCAAUAAUGGCCAACCAAUUUUCCAUGACUUUUAUAGCUUGACUUAAGUUGUGCAAUCUAAAGUCUUUUUCUAAACCGUGAGAACAGAAGAAAACAUAUGAGCAGCCAUUGUUGAAGUCCCAUGUUCGGCCAAGCUUCUCAUUUUACACGGUGAGUAAUUUUAAUCUCGUUUUUCAUGAAUUUUAUAUUUUUGAGAUUAUUGUAAUUUUAAUCUAGUUUAGCUAACUCAAGUGUUAAUUUUUGAAACUGUUAAAAUUUCUAAAUGUUACUAUUGAUGAAUGAUUGAUGAAAUUAGUAUUAAUUGAUUAGAUUUUUCUGCUUAGAUAUGAAAAAGGCUUAAUUAUCAAUUAUCAAUUCCAAAUAAAAAAUAUUAUUGAUAUUUUCUAUUAUGAAAACCCAUUCUCAAUGUGUUGAAUCGUUGAACAAGUAAUUUUUACUUCUAUUGUGGCAAAUUCAAUGGAGGGAGUUAUCUUCUUAUUUCUACCAUAAAAAGUUUCUCAAUAAAUUUCAUUGGGUGAAAAUUUUGAGUUAGAUUAGAGUGCUUCAAAAUCUCAUGGCAAUUAACAAAUUACGUGAAUGUGUGUGAAAAUAGGAAGGAUAUUAGUAGUUCACCUCUAAUUGCUUAGGCAUGAUACUCGUUGUGAAAAUAGGAAGUUUCUCAACAAUUCCCAUGAUACUUGUUGGAUAACUCGAUCAUCUUUUUUACAGGAUGUAAACUUUUCUAAAUGAUAAGGAAAGGAAAAGAAAACUUAGGCAAUUCAAUUUAAGUAGUUCACAUUUAAUUGCCUACCUCCACUUAGUAUCCUUUAAUCAAAUAAUUUCUCAAAUUACUAUAAGAAUUUGUACCUUUCGAGGAGAAGGUAUAACAUUUACAGCACUAUCUUUUUCUUAAGGCUUAGAUAUAACCUUUCCCUCUAGCUUUUAUAGUUGUUGUAUAGUCGUCGUUGGCAAGUCAUGUCUCGAGACAAUUUAUCAAUUGUCUUUAGACACACUGCACUAUAUCUCAAGACAAGUAGCUCCUAUCAAUUGGUACAAGCCAGUAUGAACUAGUAUAAGUUAGUAUUGACUGAAACGAGCUUAAACAUACUGGAAUUGUCAAAACACAUCAAAAUCUUAACCAUAAUGAAGCCUAUACUAUUUAGUAUUGGUUGAAGACCAGAAAGAUACGCAUCGAGUGUGUUAAAUGUUGAUGUCCUUUUUAUGUACUGUUUAUAUUUUUGUUCUUUUAAUAAUAUUUGUUUGGCUUAUAAAAAUUAUUUUUAUUAAAAUAAAAUAAAUGAAAAGCUUAUGCAAAGACUAAAAAAAGAUAUCAAAAUUUGCUAUGUUUUGAUAUUGGGCAUUUAAUAAUUUGUACCUAUAUUUAAAAAAAAAUUGUACCAAUACAAUUUCAUAAAAUUAGUACAAAUGGUCAUCAAAAUUCAGCGUAACUUCCUAAAUAUAUUGCUAAUUGAUAUAAUUGAGAACGGUUAUGCGGUUGAUAAUAAUCUUUUUGAACUUCGUUUAGUACAUGAUUUAUGCAAGUAAUAUUGGCAACUUAAGUUUCGGCAUGUCCUGCGAGAACAUAAGAGACUGACAGAUUGCAUGACCAAAGUUGUUCUUAGUAAUCUUAAUAGGUUAACAACUUUUGAAGACCCAGCUAAUCAUGCUCGAUCUUUGUUAGAAGAAGAUGCUCAUCGAGCAAUGAUUAAUAUAGACUCUCAUCAACCUAAUUGUAGCUAAUUCCUUGAACUUGUUUCUUUUUUAAAAAAAUUCACAAAAUGCAGAAAUAACUAUUAAUAAACUUUUUAGGAAAACAGAGCAUCUGUAUAAAUAUUUAUCAAAGACAUUGCUAGAAAGCAAAGCUUAUGUUUAUUUUAGUCAAUUUAACAAUGGCCACUUCAUCGAACGCGUUGCAUAUCCCUUGAUAACUUUACUUUGAUCUUCUUUAACUUUGUAACAACCUCUUUCAUAUGAAGCCUCUCAUUUGGUAACUCUGCAGAACAUUCUAAGCCAACUUGCAAAAUGGAUAAGGCACAAUUCUUGACUUUUAAAUGUUCCCUUCCAAUGGUGCUCAACAACUUGGGAUCUACAACUUGAUUUCGCGAAGAUGAUAUCGACUCUAUCACCCAACUCUUCAAGCUUCUUUCUCCUUCAAACAUUUCAUCUGUGGGCUUUUUUCUUGUGAUGAUUUCCAUCAAAAGAAUACCAAAGCUAUACACAUCACCUUUUGUCGAAACAAUUCCUUCGAUUCCAUAUUCUGUGUAUGAAUAUAAAAACAACAUUAUGAAUAUUCAAAGAUAUCUUGAUAAUGAAAAAUCCGUAUAAAAUGUACGAAACAUUAUAUGCUUGCAUGUUAUAAUUGAACUGGGAUUUAAUCUAGUUGCUUCCUUAAAAAGUCACAUUUAAUAUGUUUGAAACUCAAAUCUUAACAUAUAUGAUCCCUUUUGUUAUGCACAUGCUACGCUUACAUUGAAAAUGGAAAAAUAAACAUGGAGUUUGAUUAGAAGUAUCACCUGGUGCCAUAUAUCCAAAUGUUGCCAUUGUCAUGGUUUGUAUCAUUGAAACCUCUUCACGUAAGAGUUUCGCGAUGCCAAAAUCACUCAAAUGAGCAACCAUAUCUUCAUCUAAUAGAACAUUGUUGGGUUUUAAAUCACAGUGAACCACGGGUGUUGCAUUUUCAUGGUGGAGAUAUUCCAAUGCAGAUGCAACAUCUAUCAUUAUGUUCAACCUUUGUAAGAUAUCCAAAUAUUGGUUGUUGGAAUACAACCAUUUAUCAAGACUCCUAUUAGGCAUGAACUCAAGCACCAACGCUUUGAAAUUAAGAUCAUUAGAGCAACUGCUUAUUACUUUGACUAAAUUUCUGUGACGAGUGUUGCAGAGAACAUCACAUUCAACAUCAAAGCUCUUAAAAGCUCCUUCUAACUCUAACUUGAAGACCUUUACCGCAAUUACCGUCCCAUCCUGGAGAGUCCUUUGGAAUAGUGAACCAUAACUUCCAUUACCAAGCAACCUACUAUCAUUGAAUCCAUCAGUAGCUUGACGAAGCUCGUGGUAUGAAAACCGUCUCCACGUUCCUAAAGGUAUCAUGUCUUCUUGAGUUGGCAAUUUGUCUUUCCUCCUAUUUUACAAGAUAAUGAUUAUCAGAGCCACAACCAAAAUUGUGGAGGCAAUUGGCAGAGCUACAUAUAUUAUGAGCUUCAGCUUAGUUUUUGCCUUGGAAUUUCUAAGAGGUCUUGUUUUGCAGUUUGGAACAUGAAGUCGAGUUGCACCACACAAGGCUUCAUUACCCUUAAAUGAUUCGAUUGUGUAGUUUCCAAAUGAUCCUCCUUCAGGAAUUUUUCCUUCAAGUCUAUUAAAAGAGACAUUGAAAUAUUUGAGAUAACGGAGUUUCUUUAAGGAUUUGGGAAUCUCUCCAGAUAGAUUAUUUCUUGACAAGUCCAAGAAUUCCAAACUCAACAAUUCAUCAAAAGACUCAGGAAUAGAACCCAUGAUUCUAUUAUUGGAAAAGGAAAAAUGAGUGAGGUCCUUGAGAUCUGCAACUCCAGUUGGGAUAUCACCUGAGAACUGAUUGUUCGACAAAUCCAAACUAGUCAAAACUUUCCAUUUUCCAAUGUCAGUUGGCAGUGGACCACUUAGAGAAUUUGAAGACAAGUAUAGGAUGAGGAGAUAGUUAAGCCUUGUCAACGUGGAAGGUAUUGAGGAGGAAAACUUAUUGGAGUCUAGAAAUAGUUGCCUUAAUGAAGUGAGAUCACCUAAGCAAGCAGGUAUUGGUCCAGACAAUUUGUUAUUGGUCAAGAACAAGAAAGCCAAUUUGUUGAGAAGACAUAACUGAGAUGGGAUGGAUCCUUCUAACUUAUUGUCUUUAAGAGAAAGACUUUGCAACUCUUCCAAUCCACCAAUUGUAGUAGGAAUCUGUCCUAUCAAUUUAUUGCCUCCGAGAUCAAUGCUUAUCAAGUGACUUAAGUUUCCAAUUUCAUUGGGGAUGCUACCCCUGAUGUUGCAUGAAUAUGCAGAGAACUCUUCAAGAGAACUUGAGACAUUUCCUACCACUCUUGGAAGUUCACCACUAAUAAAUGGGUUGCUAUCGAAAGGAAAGUUCUCCAAGCCUCUACAGUUUGUCAAAGAAAAGAGAAAGCUCAUUCCUGAGGAAGUUAAAUUAUUACUCGCCAGGUUGACAAACUUUAAAUUUCUUAGAUUGCCUAGAUUAUCAGGAAUGGACCCUGAAAAGUAAUUAUUAGACAUGUCAAGAACAGUAAGCUGAGAGGCAUUGGAAAUAUACAUUGGGAUCGAGCCGACAAGGUGAUUGCUAGCAAGAUAUAAUUGCUCCAUGUUUGGAAGGAAAAGGCCCAUGUUUGAUGGAAGAUGGCCAGAGAGCUGAUUUAUAUCCAAAGCAAUCAUCCUUAAAGUUGAAAUAUUAAAUACAUGUGGAGGGAUAGAACCAGCAAGAUUGUUAAAGUCUAAAUCCAACCAAUUUAGAUUCUUUAGGUUGCCAAUCUCACGUGGUAUUAUACCUGCCACAAAUUUUAUCAAACAAAAAUAUUAGACAAAUAUGAGGAAGAAAAUAGUUUAUGUAUAUGAAACGUUUGCUUAUAUUUUUUAUAAUGUGUACAACUAUAGACAAUUAGUGUAUCAAAUAUGAAUCAACAAUAUUUACAAAAAAAAUUAAUUCACAAUAAAAUUGUUUUUAUAGAGCUCUUGCAAAUAUUAAAGUACUUCAAGUAAUUUUAAAUUGAAUUUUUAGGUUUAAAGUUGGAAUAAGUUCAAAAUGAGAAGGGAUUGUAUGAAAUUACAAUUCUAUGUCAUCUUUAUCCCUUAUAGGAGAAUAACAAAUCAGAUUUUUCCUCCUAAUUUUUAGCUUUUUCUUCUUGAAAAAAUUAAAAUCCAACUAAAAAAGUUAAAAAUUAGGAGGAAAAAUCUGAUUUAUCAUUCUCUUAUUGGAAAGGGAUAGAGAUUACGUAGAAUCACAGUUUCAUACAAUCACUUCUCAUUCAAGUUAUAGAAAAUAAUGAUGAAAUAAAUGAUAAAGAACAAACAUUUAUAAGUCAAAUAAAAUAAUUAAGAACAUAAUGGUGAAUUAAAUUUGUUUUCCUUUUAUCUGAUUUGAUAAAUUUAAAAUUUUUAAGAACAUAAAAAUAAAUCAAAUAUGAUUUUUGGUCCCUUGGAGUUUUGUUUGGCCUCAACAGGGGUAAAUGUAAAUAAUGGACUUAAAAAGAAAAAAAGAAAUAUACUAAUUGCAAUGACUAUGAAAAAUUUUAUAAUUAUUGUAGAAUAAUCAAAACACAGAAAGCGGUUGAGGAAAAUAAAGUUCAAAUUAAUAAAAACUAUCAGUAAAAGUUGCAAAUUAAUAAAAAUAAUUUGGAAAUAAUUUAACUCUUUCUUAUACAUUCACCUGUAAAAUUGUUAUUGGAACAAUCAAACGACAUAAGAAGAGUUAAAUUCACAAUUUGUUUAGGAAUUUCACCUGCAAUUAUAAAAUUCACAUAUCAAAUUAAAAAUUCAUCUCCUAGCAAGGAUUAUAAUAAUAAAAUUAAGGUAUAAUGGCUUAUUUAGCUCUUCAAUUUUAUUAAAAAGAAUCAUUUUAGUCUUUCAUUUAAUUUUUCAUCUCUUUUAGCCCUUAAACUUGCAAUGUUUGUCAAAUCAUCCCAAAAUAAAUUGAAAAUUCCAUGUGUAUGCCACAUCAACAAUUAAUUUUUAAAAUUUUAAAAAAAAUUCUAUUUUAUUACUAACGUGUUAGCAAAGUAAACAAACAUUAACUUUUCCAUACAUUUUUUGGGCUGAUAUAACAAACAAUACAAGUUCAAGAGCUAAAAGAAACGGAAAAUUAAAUAAAAAAUUAAAAUGAUUUUUUUUAUAAAGUUGAAGGGCUAAAUAAAUAAUUAUUUCUAAAGUAAACAAAGCACGUUAGCAAGGUAUUUCACAUCAUAUUAGGUGUCAUACACACUUCCAAGUCAAGUUGGAACUAAAAAAAUAUUUCUCUCAUCAUUUUGUCGUAGUUUAUUCUUCAAUCUUCUUUUGAAAAAUUUCAACUAUGUAUUCGUUUAAUAAAUAAAUUUAUAUUUUCAAUCUCAAUAUCUAAAUUAUUAUAUUCAUUACCUUAAUUUCUUUUCAAAAAAACAAAAAAAAAAAUCGUUCCUUGCAUCUCAAUGUACUUAAAAAAAAAGUAAACACUUCAAAAGGUUUUAAAAAUGGUUAGCAUAUAUUACCUUCAAAGUGGUUCCGACCAAUAGCGAUGUCUUGAAGCAGGCUCAAAUUCCCAAUUUCUAUUGGUAGGCUCCCCUCCAUUUGGUUAUACGAUAAAGCUAACACUUGUAACUCUUUGCACUUGAAUAGACUGGCAGGAAUUCUACCAGAAAGCAGGUUAAGACUCCAGUACAAUCCUUUCAAAUUUGGAAGAUGAUCAAACAUAUCUUUUGGGAUAUGACCAGUGAGAUUAUUGGAGGUGAAAUGGAUGACUUCUAGCAAAAGCAAAUCACGUGGAACAGAGGGUAUAGAACCAGAGAGUAUAUU
RNAcentral lists this long non-coding RNA (19625 nucleotides) under Gossypium barbadense (sea-island cotton). RNAcentral describes it as "long non-coding RNA (GBAR_LNC013188)". The stretch from base 17932 to 18054 matches the Rfam family "MIR7504 microRNA precursor family". The record is from RNAcentral. Lineage: Eukaryota; Viridiplantae; Streptophyta; Magnoliopsida; Malvales; Malvaceae.